CUCAGGAUCCCGGCUGCAUACCAGAUGUCCUGCUCCAGGUCGUGAAUGGCAAAGGCACUGCCAGCAUCACCAUAGCAGGUGUCUUCCUGGAACUUGGUCAUGCCAGCACAGAAGGGUGGUAUAUCAAACCCAAGAAUGCCAGAUGGUUACCUGGAGAAAACUGGCUUCCUAAAGGCAUGACUGUGGCCAUCACUGGUGCCCAGACUACACUUAAAAGACUUCUACACUGAGUGCUCCAAGUGUGAGAUGUGCACUGUGGACUCACCUCAUCUUGGGCCUCUCUUGCCGAUCUCUGGAAGGUCUGUGCCGUGGUGACUUCUGCUGAGCCUUUUAUGCUUCAAGGUCCUACCCCACCUCCUUCUCUUCCAAUUCUGUGUUUGCACAAUGUCAGCCAAGGUCACUGGUUGUUCCAGUAAUCAAACCACAAACCAAACCCCUGUCAAGAGUUGAACUCUUGCUUCAUGCUUUCCUCUGCCAUGGUGUUAUUUUUCAAAUCAUGAAGAAAUCUGGCAACUUCAUGACCCCUCCCACUCACCACAGUACUGGAGAACCCCCAGAGGGUGGGAUGGAGAAGAGGAGCUGUCAGGGUGACACUUUAUUUUUUGGAGGGGAUUAUUAAACCUUUCUUUGAGUUAUUUCAAACCCUUUUAGACACCCCUGUGACCCGACCUAGCUGGGACUCUAAAGAGUUCCCUUUUCUCAUUCAUGCUACCUAAGUGUGAAUGAACAUCUCCUUCCUGAUUGUGGAAAGCUCUGGAAACUGCAAUCAGUAGACUGCGUUUAUUGUGUCUUGGCCCGUUGCUCUCCAACCUCAAGAGUGAUUAAAGCUGUAGUACAGAUUGACAUGGGACCCUCAUGCUGGCUUUUCACUCCAGAGUUUUCUUGGAAUCAUUUCAAGAUCAACACUUCAGUGUAGGCACCCCUGCAACCUCACUCAGGGAGAGCAGGUAAAGAAAGGGUUUCCAUUUCACAGUUACUCCCCAACCUGUGUGGACAUCUUGCUGUUGCUAAAUGUUCCAACUUAAAAUCAGUGAAAUGAGCCUGUUGUGUCUCUGAUUGCUCUUAGUAGAUAACCACACCACGUGGGUAGUGUAGACACAGAACAAGCUCAAUAGCAGGACUUCCUGUGGCUUCAUAGCCCAGCUGCUAGUCAAAAUAGGCAGCUGAGAAACAUCAAUGUUUCAGUCAAAUACCUGCCUUGGUAUGCUCUUCAGUUCAACAUAGCAACUCAAUCUAAAUGUCUUCACUAAUUGAAAAAAAGUUAGCUGUUUUUUAAUUAAAUCAUACCAAAGAAUCAAAUGGGCUGUUAACAGUGGCAUCGAUGCAAUAUCAAAACAACUAGGAAGAGCACAGAUACCUAUCAACAGGGAACUGGUUACUAAUGUGUGGGGUGGUCACACAAUGGAAUACUGUAAAGCCAUGAAAAUGCUUGGACAACAGAGAAGAGAGAUAAUUGAAGAAUUAUGAAAACAGCACAAAGUAGCAGAAGAUUGCAUUGGGAAUAAUACUGCUCUUAUAAAGCUCAAAACCAAGCACAAUUUGGUAAAGGAUUUUUAAAUAUGACACCCAAAUCACAGACAAUAUCAAGAACAUGAAAAAGCAAGGCUAGAUCGAUGGAUCAGCAGUUAAGAGCACUUGCUGCUCUUUGAGAGGACCUGAGCUCAGUUCCCAGGAUCAAGUGUCUUACAACAGCCUAAGAUUUGAGGCCCAGGGUACCCAAUGCCUCUGACCUCACAUGCAGGACACACAGACACACACACGUAUACAUAAUUCAGGGCUACCCUUAAGGCCUCACCUCUCUCUGCUUUCCCUUGUGGGCUUGGAUGCGGGGUCAGACUCAGGCAGAAGAACAGCGUACGACUGUACCUUGGCCUUCCAGGACCCUAUGAUAAAUCUCCUGUUCUGUAGUGAGCCUUCCUUCCUAAUAAAUUCCUUUACCCUUUAAGCAGACUCUGUGGAUUUCUCAUAAUAGGUCUCCUACAGCAAAACAAGAGUUAGGGAAGAAGUGGGGACAUUGGGACCCACAUGCACUGCAGUGGGAAUGUAGAAUGGGGCAUACUCCAAGGCAUAGGUAGCUCCAUGCUCUGUCCAAAAGCUAAUAACAGAAUUACUGUGUGCCUCAGGUGUGUUGUGCAACAGUCCCCCCACCCAGACUGAAACAUCCCAUACUUCAGAGAUGCUAAGCAGGAAAAUAAACAACUCAAAAUAACUUCAGGAGGUCCCUGAAACUGACCGGAUUCACUAGGCCCCUCUCUGCCAGAGUAAACAAUAAAGCUGCCAAGAAGUCACUAAGACCAGAUCAGCUACCUGGAGAAAUCUAAACCAGCUGGGCUGCCUGGAAGAGGUUUAGACCAGAGUCACUUGGAAAAGACACUCUCCAACCUGUUGAGAGACCUUCAGGCUGUGCA
This is a long non-coding RNA of Peromyscus californicus insignis, 2408 nucleotides long. RefSeq lists it as uncharacterized. The record is from RefSeq and is a predicted model, not a curated record. The transcript has 3 exons. NCBI's taxonomy places the organism in Eukaryota, Metazoa, Chordata, Mammalia, Rodentia, Cricetidae.